Molecule: signal recognition particle RNA, 97 nt
Filed under: Weissella soli
Lineage: Bacteria; Bacillati; Bacillota; Bacilli; Lactobacillales; Lactobacillaceae
Description: signal recognition particle sRNA small type
Rfam family: Bacterial small signal recognition particle RNA
About the family: The signal recognition particle (SRP) is a universally conserved ribonucleoprotein involved in the co-translational targeting of proteins to membranes.
Source: RNAcentral
UAUAUUUUACGAGGCAAGUGUGUGCUUCGAACCGUGUCAGGGUCGGAAGGCAGCAGCACUAAGGAGAUUUCGCAUUGUGCCUUACUUUGAAUAUAAC